AUAUACGGUCAAGUUAUCAAGAGCACACAGCGGAUGCCUUGGCAUCAGCAGUCGAAGAAGGACGUGGCAAGCUGCGAUAAGCCCCGGGGAGGAGCAAACUUCCUUUGAUCCGGGGAUUUCCGAAUGGGGAAACCCCCCGCCUUAGGCGGGAUCAUUCAGGAAAAGCGCGCGCAAGCGUGUAUACCUGUCUGAAGGCAACCCGGCGAACUGAACCAUCUAAGUAGCCGGAGGAAAAGAAAUCGAACGAGAUUCCCUGAGUAGCGGCGAGCGAAACGGGAACAGCCUAAACCGUUCCGGCGUGACAGCGUGUACGCGUUGUCGGAGCGGGGUCGUGGGACCGGAUGUGCCUGUUGUACAUAACAGGCGUGCAGUAAAAAAACAUUUGUAUAGCGGAAUCGCCCUGGAAUAGGCGUACCAUAGGGGGUGACAGUCCCGUACGCGAAAUACGAAUGUCUUCAUUGUCCGGCACCCGAGUAUCACGGGGCACGUGGAAUCCUGUGAGAAUUUGUCCAGACCAUUGGAUAAGGCUAAAUACUCGCUGAUGACCGAUAGUGAACUAGUACCGUGAGGGAAAGGUGAAAAGUCCCCCGAGAGGGGAGUGAAAUAGUACCUGAAACUGUGAUGCUUACAAUCAGUCGGAGGACUAUGCCCGGAUGUUGUUCCGCUUCGGCGGGACAAUAUGAAGGGAAUGUCUGACGGCGUGCCUUUUGCAUAAUGAACCGGCGACUUAAUGUCAGCAGCAAGGUUAAGUCCGUAGGGACGCAGCCGUAGCGAAAGCGAGUCUGAAUAGGGCGAUUUAGUUGCUGGCUUUAGACCCGAAACCAGGUGAUCUAUCCAUGGACAGGGUGAAGCGAUUGUAAAAAGUCGUGGAGGCCCGAACCCACUUCAGUAGAAAAUGGAGGGGAUGAGCUGUGGAUAGGGGUGAAAGGCCAAUCUAACUUGGUGAUAGCUGGUUCUUCCCGAAAUGCAUUUAGGUGCAGCCUGAUAGUUUAAGCUUUGGGGGUAGAGCACUGGAUAGUGUAGGGGCCUUACCGGGUUUCCGAAACUAACCAAACUCCGAAUACCAUUGUGUACACUGUCAGAGUGAGCCCGCGGGGGAUAAGCUCCGUGGACGAGAGGGCAACAACCCAGACCAUCUGAUAAGGUCUCUAAUAUUAGCUAAGUGUCAAAGGAUGUGAAUUCGCUCAGACAUCCAGGAGGUUGGCUUAGAAGCAGCCAUCCUUUAAAGAAUGCGUAAUAGCUCACUGGCCGAGUGGAUUCGCGCCAAAAAUUCCGGAGGCUAAGCUAAUAACCGAAGCAGUGGAUUCUGAAUUCCUUCGGGGAUUCAGUCUGGUAGGGAAGCGUUCUGCGUGUAGGAUGAAGGGAUACCGUAAGGAGUCCUGGACGAAACAGAAGUGAUGAUGUCGGUAUAAGUAACGAUAACUGCUGUGAGAAACAGCGGCGCCGAAAACCUAAGGUUUCCAUGAGUAAAGUUAAUCUGCUCUGGGUUAGUCGUUCCUAAGGCGAGGCCGAAAGGCGUAGUCGAUGGGAAACAGGUUAAUAUUCCUGUACCACUAUUAAACGUUUGUACCUUGGAGAGACGCAGUUGAGGAGGUCAUCUUCCUGACGGAUUAGGGAGUAUUCGCCGCAAGGCGGAUGGAUCUGCCGAAAGGCAGAGAACUGACUGAAUGGACUGCCAGGAAAAUCUCCUUCAGGGAGGAUAAUAGUGUGCGUACCGUAAACCGACACAGGUAGGUGGGAUGAGAAUUCUAAGGCGCUCGAGUAAUUCCCCGUUUAGGAACUCGGCAAAUUGACCCCGUAACUUCGGAAGAAGGGGUGCCCCUGUAGGGGCGGAUGGAAGGUAUAAUGUAAUAAGGGCGGACAUCUUCUUCGUGGAGAUGGAAACCUGGACUUACAUGUGCCGGAAAUCCGUUUUGAAAGGGCUGCAAUAACCAGGUCCAUGCGACUGUUUAACAAAAACACAGGUCUCUGCUAAGUCGUAAGACGAUGUAUAGGGACUGAUGCCUGCCCAAUGCCGGAAGGUUAAGGGGAGGAGUGCAAGCUCCGAACCUAAGCCCUGGUGAAUGGCGGCCGUAACUAUAACGGUCCUAAGGUAGCGAAAUUCCUUGUCAGGUAAGUUCUGACCUGCACGAAUGGCAUAACGAUGUGGACACUGUCUCAAUGGGGAGCUCGGUGAAAUUGUGUUACCGGUGAAGACGCCGGUUACCCGUACCGGGACGGAAAGACCCCGGGAACUUUACUGUAACCUAUCAUUGGAUUACGGAAUAUUCUGCGUAGGAUAGGUGGGAGACUUUGAAACUUCGGCUUUGGCCGGGGUGGAGUCAACCUUGAAAUACCACCCUGAAUGUUUUGUGAUUCUAACCUUGACCCGUGAAUCCGGGCAAGGAACAGUGUUAGGCGGGCAGUUUGACUGGGGCGGUUUUCUCCUAAAGAGUAACGGAGAAGUCCAAAGGUCACCUCAACCCGUAUAAAAGCCGGGUGUUGAGUGCAAAGGCAUAAGGUGGCUUAACUGCGAGAGAGACAUCUCAAGCAGAUACGAAAGUAGGGCUUAGUGAUCCGGUGGCUCCGAAUGGAAGGGCCAUCGCUCAACGGAUAAAAGUUACCCCGGGGAUAACAGGCUUAUCUCCCCCAAGAGUUCAUAUCGACGGGGAGGUUUGGCACCUCGAUGUCGGCUCGCCGUAUCCUGGGGCUGUAUAAGGUCCCAAGGGUUGGUCUGUUCGCCCAUUAAAACGGCACGCGAGCUGGGUUCAGUACGUCGUGAGACAGUACGGUCCCUAUCUGGUACGGGCGUAGGAAAUUUGAGGAGAGCUGUCUCUAGUACGAGAGGACCGAGAUGGACAAACCUCUGGUGUACCAGUUGUUCCGCCAGGAGCAUCGCUGGGUAGCCACGUUUGGACAGGAUAACCGCUGAAAGCAUCUAAGUGGGAAGCCAACUCCAAGAUAAGAUUUCCCUGUCUAAGUCUU
Molecule: ribosomal RNA, 2964 nt
Filed under: Elusimicrobia bacterium CG03_land_8_20_14_0_80_50_18
Lineage: Bacteria; Pseudomonadati; Elusimicrobiota
Description: bacterial LSU rRNA
Rfam family: Bacterial large subunit ribosomal RNA
Source: RNAcentral